AGUGAACGCUGGCGGAGGCCUAACCCAUUCCAGUUGAACGGCAACACAGUAAAGGCCUGCCUCUUCGGGGGGCGAGUGGGGGGAGGGGGGGGGAUAAAACGGAAACUUCUUUUUCCGGGGGGAUAAAGGAAGGAAAACUAAGCCUAUAACGCAUAACACCUACGGGUGAAAGCCGGGGGACUUUCGACCCUGCCCCAAUUUAUUAGCCCGAUGUCGGAUUAGCUAGUUGGCGGGGUAAAGGCCCACCAAGGCGACGAUCCGUAGCUGGUCUGAGAGGAUGAUCAGCCACACUGGAACUGAGACACGGUCCAGACUCCUACGGGAGGCAGCAGUGGGGAAUAUUGGACAAUGGGCGCAAGCCUGAUCCAGCCAUACCGCGUGGGUGAAGAAGGCCUUCGGGUUGUAAAGCCCUUUUGUUGGGAAAGAAAAGCAGCAGGUUAAUACCCCGCUGUUCUGACGGUACCCAAAGAAUAAGCACCGGCUAACUUCGUG
This 492-nucleotide ribosomal RNA is filed under the name uncultured bacterium. Its description in RNAcentral is "partial 16S ribosomal RNA". It matches the Rfam family "Bacterial small subunit ribosomal RNA", at positions 29 to 507 of the family's 1533-position model. The record is from RNAcentral.